UACAGAGGUGGCAAGCGUUGUUCGGAAUUACUGGGCGUAAAGGGCGCGUAGGCGGCCCACUAAGUCAGACGUGAAAUCCCCCGGCUUAACCCGGGAACUGCGUCUGAUACUGGAGGGCUUGAGUAUGGGAGAGGGAUGUAGAAUUCCAGGUGUAGCGGUGAAAUGCGUAGAUAUCUGGAGGAAUACCGGUGGCGAAGGCGGCAUCCUGGACCAUUACUGACGCUGAUGCGCGAAAGCUAGGGGAGCAAACGGG
This 253-nucleotide ribosomal RNA is filed under the name uncultured bacterium. RNAcentral's name for it is "partial 16S ribosomal RNA". It matches the Rfam family "Bacterial small subunit ribosomal RNA", at positions 524 to 776 of the family's 1533-position model. The record is from RNAcentral.